AUGGCGUACGGCGGCGGCAGGAGGGGCUCGUCCAGGUGGGGCCUUCCGAUGGUGAGGUCGGACGCGCUCGGCAAGCUGGGCCCCUCCUUCGGCAUCGGCGCCGGCUGCGGCGUCGGCGUCGGAGUCGGCCUCAUCGGCGGCGCAGGAAUUGGAGCUGGAUUCCCUGGUUUACAGCUGGGAUUCGGAGCAGGCGCUGGAUGUGGAAUAGGAAUAGGCUUUGGCUACGGUUUUGGAAAGGGGAUUGCAUAUGACGAGAACGGAAAAUAUUCAAACAUCAGGAGAUCAUUUCAGAACACCGGGAGCCUUCCUUACGAUCAGGAGUUUGAUAUCCUGUUUGACGAGGUGAUGGAGAGCACCAGGAAGCUGAUCAAAGCGACGACAAAGGAGAUCGACAAGUGGAGGCGUAUGUAG
Molecule: ribosomal RNA, 411 nt
Filed under: Triticum aestivum (bread wheat)
Lineage: Eukaryota; Viridiplantae; Streptophyta; Magnoliopsida; Poales; Poaceae
Description: partial small subunit ribosomal RNA
Source: RNAcentral